GGCCGAGCAGGCGGAGAGGAGAGCUAUUUAGCGUGACUUUUCUUUCAUUUCUCAUUAUCUGACAAACGGUUGCGGGUGAGAAUGAUGAAACAAACCAUACAGAUAUUUGCUCGUGUUAAACCGACAAAGAAGCCGACCGCGGUGUACUCUGUGGAUAAUGAGGAGCAGAGCGGAGGCAGUUUGGAGUUCGUCCUUCCGAGGGAUCUUGCAGACGGCUUCGUCAAUAACAAGAGGGAGAGCUACAGAUUCAGGUUUCAGAAAGUUUUUGACCAAACAGCCAAGCAGGAGGAAAUCUUUGAUGCAAUUGCAAAGCCUGUGACUGAUACUGUGCUGGCAGGGUACAAUGGUACAAUUUUCGCCUAUGGACAGACUGGCAGUGGAAAGACGUUCACCAUCACGGGGGGCGCUGAGCGCUACAGUGACAGAGGAAUCAUCCCCAGAACUCUGUCCUACCUGUACCAGCAUUUCAGCCGGGACAGCAACAUGGUGUAUACUACGCACAUAUCUUAUCUGGAGAUCUACAAUGAGAUGGGAUAUGACCUUUUGGAUCCACGACAUGAAGCAUCAAAUCUGGAGGACUUACCGAAGGUGACAAUAAGGGAAGAUCCUGAGCAGAACAUUCAUCUUAAGAAUCUGUCAUUGCAGCCAUCAGCCAAUGAAGAAGAGGCUCUAAAUCUGCUUUUCCUGGGUGACACCAAUCGCAUGAUUGCAGAGACCCCAAUGAAUCAGGCGUCUACACGCUCUCACUGCAUCUUCACGAUUCACCUGUGCAGCCGUGAGCCCGGAUCAGCCACGCUACGUCGCUCCAAGCUGCACCUGGUAGACCUGGCUGGCUCUGAGAGGGUGGGAAAGACCGGUGUGGGGGGCCAGAUUCUCACCGAAGCCAAAUACAUCAACUUGUCUCUGCACUACCUUGAGCAGGUUAUCACAGCUCUGUCAGAGAAGAAUCGCUCACACAUUCCUUACCGAAACUCAAUGAUGACGUCUGUGCUCAGAGACAGUCUGGGCGGCAACUGCAUGACCACCAUGAUCGCUAUGGUGUCAGCGGAGAAGAAGAAUGUCGAUGAGUCAAUCUCAACCUGCCGUUUUGCUCAGAGAGUGGCCAUGAUUAAAAACGAAGCUCUUCUUAAUGAGGAGCUGGACCCAUCGCUGUUGAUUAUUCGUUUGAAGAAGGAGAUCCAGUGCUUAAAAGAGGAGCUAGCUAUGGUGACUGGAGAUCAAAGAAGUGAUGAGCUGACUCAAGAAGAGAUCCAGAGGACUGAAGACCAACUCAAGGUGUUUCUUGAUGACUCUGACCCUGAAGCCACUUUGGAUCUCGGAGCAGAUAUGAGAAAAAUCCGACACAGCUUUUCUUUCUUAAAGGCGAUGCUGCUGGGGAAACGGAGCACUCAGAAUGAAGCUGGUGAUAUUAGUCCGGUUACAACAUCAAGCAUCACAGACAUGCCAGACAGCCCAGCUAACAGAGAGCUGCUCAAACUGAAGGACAUGCUAACCCAGCGUGACAAUGAGAUCAGUAUCCUUGUGAGCAUGCUGAAGAAAGAGAAGCAGAAGUUUCAAGAAGCCAAUGGACAAUUAGCAAAAAUCAGCAGCUCCCAAAGCUCACUCCAGUCAUCAUUGUCAUCCUCUGGAACGCAUGCUGAGAGAAGAAUAAAGUGUGAAGCUUCGGAGGACCCUGCACAUUCCGAAAAUAUAAAGGUCAAGCAUAGUGGAGCUGAGCUGUCUAUGGGACGACAGGAGGCAUUUGAAAUAUUUAGGAGUGAGCAUGAGGAUAAUAUAACUAUUGAAGACAACAAGUUCAUAUUGAAGCAGAGGUUUGCAGAAGCAAAGGCGUUGGGUGAGCAGGUUAACCAGGCCAGGAGCAGUGUCAAUGAUCUGAAGAAACAGUUGGAGGCUAGAAGGAUGCAGAUGGCAGCACAGGGUGUAGUGGGGAAUCAGCCAAAUACAGAAUCUGACCCUGUACAAGAGAGACUCUGUAACCAGAUUGAAGAGGAGAAGAAAAAAUAUAAAAGCACCUUUGAACGUUUAAAAGGCUUAAAGACAGAGAUUGAACAUGUGCAGCACCUACUCCAGAGGGCAAAGGUCAAACUGCAGAAGGACUUCCAGGACUGGUGGAUUCAGGAAGCAGCAAGGCUACAGCAGAACCAAUGUUCAGAGAGUACAAGAGCAGGGCGAAGCAAGGACAGCUCUCCCCGCCUGCCAUCAUCCAGUUCACUGCUUGAUCCCCACAUCGAUAACCAGGACAGAGCACAAAUACACCAGCCUACUCCACCUACAAGAGAGCUGCGAGCGUUGUCCACUUCUGGCCCUGCCUCAACAUCUAUCCCACUGACUGGAGACCAACAGACUGAUGCAGACAUAAUGGCCUUUAUCAAAGCCAGACAAAAUCUGCUCACCAGAACAGAGAGUAGAGAUUUUCAGGAGCCUACACUUGGUCUCUCCUGUGGAGGUUUUUGAUUGUCAUCUGUGAGACUUUUCCAUGUCCGCGAUUAAACAUCCAGAUUUGUGCCAGGGUCACUUUGCAAAGGAGCGGCACCAAAAUAAAGUUUUGAUCAAGAUAAGACAAUGCACAAGAGUUUGUCUAACAAAUGCAUUACAUCAUUACACCAGCGAAGAUCACAGCCAUCUGAAUUUUUGAAGCUGUUUUGACUUGGACUGAAUAUUCAGAAUUCACAUGGACAACUAUUUUUUAUUAUUUUUCCCUACUUGGUCUAAUAGUACUUUCCUGUACUGUUUUCGUCACUAAUGGACAGGAACAUUCUGCAAAUGAGCUCGAAUGUCUCAGCAAUCACAUGUCACCUAGCAGCAGCAUAUAUCCCUGCUGAAGGCACUUAUCCGACCUGAGCAAAUGUUUUCACAAGCUAUCAUACAGCACUAACUGGAUCGGAUGUCUGAAACCCUGCCAAGAUCUACGACCUGUUUACCCGAGCCAUCAAAUCAUAGGGAUUUUAUUUGUGUUUUCUUUUCCCAGCAUGUUGUUUAAUCGAUUUUGUUUCCCCAUCUGCUCAGUAUAAAAGAGAUUCCUGUAAAAUAUGAUUAGCGAUUUCAUUUAUAUGACUUGUUCCGCUAUAAACUGCCUGUACGGGUGAAUUUAGACCCACUAACAGAUGUGCUAUUUAACACUGUCCUAUUACAUUAGGUCCCAACUUUAAUAUGGUUAUACCAAAGCAGCCUUAUUUGAUAAGUAACAAAAACAGCUCAAUAUUGUGCCAAGAUUGUUGAAAUAACUGAUGUUGUAGCAUUACACAGGGAACUCCAACGCACCCCUUUUUUCACACAGUGGUACGGUUUAGGGGACACGUAAGAAUUUCCAGGCAUUCUGCUUUUGCAUUUCUGUGAACAUAUUUGUUUGAAAUCUAGACAGCUGGAAAAGCAAUUUGCAUUGUAAGGCACUUUCCUCAGCCUGAUGCUUUUGGAGUUUAUCGAGGCCAUAUUAAGCCAGGGUCUACUUUUUGCUUUAUUUUAUUUGCACAUUUUUGGUAUGGUCCAGUAGCACUGUUCUCCAUGUGAAUACAAAAUAAACCUA
Molecule: RNA transcript, 3523 nt
Organism: Silurus meridionalis
Lineage: Eukaryota; Metazoa; Chordata; Actinopteri; Siluriformes; Siluridae
Gene: kif6
Gene name: kinesin family member 6
Exons: 23
Source: RefSeq, a predicted model, not a curated record